GCAGUCGUUCGCUGUGCAUGCGGAUCGCGUGGUUGUUUGCGUUUCCGAGCGUGGAAUUGGACGUUUCGCAUGACACGCUAGCAUGCCGGGCUAGCAUGCUGGUCGUCGCAACCAUACGACGGAUGGAAAGAAGUUCUUUUCUAUUCCUCGCGGUGAUGAUAACAUCCGCAGACGGAAGAUAUGGCUCCACAGAAUCGGGCGCAAGGAUUUCGUGCCCACUGAAAAUACCCCGCUAUGCGAGGACCACUUUGAUGUUGAAGAAUUUGAGCCAUAAUCCUACAAAGCUCUGGCCAGAAGAAACUGAAGCCGUAUGCCACGCCGAGCAUCUUUACUCAUCGGCCGAAACAAAAAGAGCGGAAGAUGCAGCGAAAUCCUUUAUCCGAAAUAAAGCUCUUAGAGUAUUGUGUAUACAAA
Molecule: long non-coding RNA, 414 nt
Organism: Rhipicephalus microplus (southern cattle tick)
Lineage: Eukaryota; Metazoa; Arthropoda; Arachnida; Ixodida; Ixodidae
Source: RefSeq, a predicted model, not a curated record